Molecule: ribosomal RNA, 653 nt
Filed under: uncultured bacterium
Lineage: Bacteria
Description: bacterial SSU rRNA
Rfam family: Bacterial small subunit ribosomal RNA
Source: RNAcentral
AAAAGGUGGCUAUGCUACCGCUUUUGGAUGGGCCCGCGGCGCAUUAGCUAGUUGGUGGGGUAAAGGCUUACCAAGGCAAUGAUGCGUAGCCGAACUGAGAGGUUGAUCGGCCACAUUGGGACUGAGACACGGCCCAAACUCCUACGGGAGGCAGCAGUAGGGAAUCUUCCACAAUGGGCGAAGGCCUGAUGGAGCAACGCCGCGUGGGUGAAGAAGGUCUUCGGAUCGUAAAACCCUGUUGUUAGAGAAGAAAGUGCGUGAGAGUAACUGUUCACGUUUCGACGGUAUCUAACCAGAAAGCCACGGCUAACUACGUGCCAGCAGCCGCGGUAAUACGUAGGUGGCAAGCGUUAUCCGGAUUUAUUGGGCGUAAAGGGAACGCAGGCGGUCUUUUAAGUCUGAUGUGAAAGCCUUCGGCUUAACCGGAGUAGUGCAUUGGAAACUGGGAGACUUGAGUGCAGAAGAGGAGAGUGGAACUCCAUGUGUAGCGGUGAAAUGCGUAGAUAUAUGGAAGAACACCAGUGGCGAAAGCGGCUCUCUGGUCUGUAACUGACGCUGAGGUUCGAAAGCGUGGGUAGCAAACAGGAUUAGAUACCCUGGUAGUCCACGCCGUAAACGAUGAAUGCUAAGUGUUGGAGGGUUUCCGCCCUUCA